AGUGAACGCUGGCGGCGUGCUUAACACAUGCAAGUCGAACGAGAACGGACUUAAACUUGCUUAAGUUGUCAGCUAAGUGGCGCACGGGUGAGUAAUGUAUAGUUAACCUGCCCUCUAGAGAGGAAUAACAGUUGGAACGACUGCUAAUGCCUUAUAUGCCUUUAAGACAGAGUCUGCAAGGGAAAUGCUUUAGUGCUAGAGGAGUGGACGUGUAUGGUAUCAGUUAGUUGGUUGGGGUAAGUAGGCUUACCAAGACAAUGACGCCUAACUAGGUUUGUAGAGGAUGAUCAGUCACACUGGAACU
This 304-nucleotide ribosomal RNA is filed under the name uncultured Campylobacterota bacterium. RNAcentral's name for it is "bacterial SSU rRNA". It matches the Rfam family "Bacterial small subunit ribosomal RNA", at positions 29 to 320 of the family's 1533-position model. Lineage: Bacteria; Pseudomonadati; Campylobacterota. The record is from RNAcentral.